This 246-nucleotide ribosomal RNA is filed under the name uncultured bacterium. RNAcentral's name for it is "partial 16S ribosomal RNA". It matches the Rfam family "Bacterial small subunit ribosomal RNA", at positions 88 to 334 of the family's 1533-position model. The record is from RNAcentral.
UGACUGAGUGGCGGACGGGUGAGUAACGCGUGGGUAACCUGCCCCAUACAGGGGGAUAACAGUUAGAAAUGACUGCUAAUACCGCAUAAGACCACAGUACCGCAUGGUACAGGGGUAAAAACUCCGGUGGUAUGAGAUGGACCCGCGUCUGAUUAGGUAGUUGGUGGGGUAACGGCCUACCAAGCCGACGAUCAGUAGCCGACCUGAGAGGGUGACCGGCCACAUUGGGACUGAGACACGGCCCAA